AUGGAGAAGAAACAUAUGAAGAUGGCCAUCCUGAGGCAAGAGCAGACAUUCAGACAACAGGUUCACGAGCUGCAUCGCGUAUACGAGGUUCAGAAGCGGCUGAUGAAGGAGAUGCAGGCUGUUAAGAUGAGCCCAGCUCAGGCAAGAGAGGAUACUCGACCAGAACCGAUGCUGGAUACAGAUCGACCACAAUGGCACAUCAACUCAGGCGAGAAGACCGCUCGUUUCACCGAGGACUUCAACCUGGAGCUGACACUAGCAACUGGGGGUGAUACAAGGAAGCAGGAGAUGACAUCCAACUCCGAGUCUGGAGCAACGGUGACAUCGUCGACUUCUGCUGAAUCAGAGUCGGGGCAGCGAUUCCCCAAGUCCAAUGUAGACCUGAGGUUUCAACAUGAGAGCAAGAGGCAUGAUGAUCAGCUCACGCAGUCUCCCUGGCUCUACCAAUGUUUAAGUCUCAAGAUGGCUUAA
RNAcentral lists this ribosomal RNA (471 nucleotides) under Triticum aestivum (bread wheat). Its description in RNAcentral is "partial small subunit ribosomal RNA". The record is from RNAcentral. Lineage: Eukaryota; Viridiplantae; Streptophyta; Magnoliopsida; Poales; Poaceae.